Molecule: ribosomal RNA, 984 nt
Filed under: human gut metagenome
Description: bacterial LSU rRNA
Rfam family: Bacterial large subunit ribosomal RNA
Source: RNAcentral
AUAACGGUCCUAAGGUAGCGAAAUUCCUUGUCGGGUAAGUUCCGACCCGCACGAAAGGCGUAAUGAUUUGAGCACUGUCUCGACAAUGCAUCCGGUGAAAUUGAAGUACCAGUGAAGAUGCUGGUUACCUGCGCCAGGACGGAAAGACCCCAUGGAGCUUUACUCCAGUUUGAUACUGGGAUUCGGUACUGCAUGUACAGGAUAGGUGGGAGACGAAGAAGGAUGGACGCCAGUCUGUCCGGAGUCGCUGUUGGGAUACCACCCCUGUAGUACUGGGUUUCUAACCAGCUGCCGUGACCCGGCAGUGGGACAAUGUCAGGCGGGGAGUUUGACUGGGGCGGUCGCCUCCGAAAGGGUAUCGGAGGCGCUCAAAGGUUCCCUCAGAAUGGUCGGAAACCAUUCGAAGAGUGCAAAGGCAGAAGGGAGCUUGACUGCGACACCGACGGGUGGAGCAGGUACGAAAGUAGGACUUAGUGAUCCGGUGGUAUAAAGUGGGAUUGCCAUCGCUCAACGGAUAAAAGCUACCCUGGGGAUAACAGGCUUAUCACUCCCAAGAGUUCACAUCGACGGAGUGGUUUGGCACCUCGAUGUCGGCUCAUCGCAUCCUGGGGCUGUAGCAGGUCCCAAGGGUUGGGCUGUUCGCCCAUUAAAGCGGUACGCGAGCUGGGUUCAGAACGUCGUGAGACAGUUCGGUCCCUAUCUGUCGUGGGCGCAGGAAAUUUGAGAAGAGCUGUCCUCAGUACGAGAGGACCGGGAUGGACGCAUCAAUGGUGGACCAGUUGUCACGCCAGUGGCAUAGCUGGGUAGCUAAAUGCGGAAGGGAUAAACGCUGAAGGCAUCUAAGUGUGAAACCCACUUCAAGAUGAGAUUUCCCAUUGCGCAAGCAAGUAAGACCCCUUAAAGACGAUAAGGUAGAUAGGUCAGGAGUGUAAGCAUGGUGACAUGUUAAGCGGACUGAUACUAAUAGGUCGAGGGCUUGACCGA